RNAcentral lists this unclassified non-coding RNA (378 nucleotides) under plant metagenome. RNAcentral describes it as "partial contains 5.8S ribosomal RNA, internal transcribed spacer 2, and large subunit ribosomal RNA". The stretch from base 1 to 105 matches the Rfam family "5.8S ribosomal RNA", at positions 50 to 154 of the family's 154-position model. The record is from RNAcentral.
GAAAUGCGAUAAGUAAUGUGAAUUGCAGAAUUCAGUGAAUCAUCGAAUCUUUGAACGCAUCUUGCGCUCCUUGGUAUUCCUUGGAGCAUGCCUGUUUGAGUAUCAUGAAAUCUUCAAAGUAAAUCUUUUGUUAACUCAAUUGGUUUCUACUUUGGUAUUGGAGGUCUUUGCAGCUUCACACCUGCUCCUCUUUGUUCAUUAGCUGGAUCUCAGUGUUAUGCUUGGUUCCACUCGGCGUGAUAAGUUAUCUAUCGCUGAGGACACUGUAAAAGGUGGCCAAGGUAAAUGCAGAUGAACCGCUUCUAACAGUCCAUUGACUUGGACAAUACUUUUAUGAUCUGAUCUCAAAUCAGGUAGGACUACCCGCUGAACUUAAGC